Dickeya dadantii 3937 is the source of this 129-nucleotide small RNA. It matches the Rfam family "EFASI RNA". Lineage: Bacteria; Pseudomonadati; Pseudomonadota; Gammaproteobacteria; Enterobacterales; Pectobacteriaceae. The record is from Rfam.
CUGGAUCGAUACCGAGGCAGGCGAUUUGCCUGGGGGUAUGACUGUGUGAACAGCGGUUGCACUGUGUGCAUCACCGAACCCCUGAUACCUCAACAAAACCCAAGCCCUCCGGCGCACAGGUAUCGUUCA